Tachysurus fulvidraco (yellow catfish) is the source of this 950-nucleotide long non-coding RNA. RefSeq lists it as uncharacterized. The transcript is spliced from 3 exons. NCBI's taxonomy places the organism in Eukaryota, Metazoa, Chordata, Actinopteri, Siluriformes, Bagridae. The record is from RefSeq and is a predicted model, not a curated record.
AUUUAUGUGUAAACAGAUGGCCAGGGUUAGCACUAAGUGGUCAAAGAUUUGCCUUUCAUUGGUGAAUUUAAGAACAGAUGUCCAGCCGUCUUUAAUGAGGAUGUCCCCAUCGAAAAAAGACGUGAAUGCAUCCUAAAAGCCCUCGUUGUUUAUGUGAAUGAAGACCCCUCAGACCUUGUGAAGGAGUACAUGGAUGUUGAACAUGAUGAAGCCCAAACCUCGAUGCGCAACACCACCCUAGGAAGCUACGUCAUCAAACCUGAAGGGGCACAUGCCACAGACCCUUACCAAUAUGUUGGCAUCAUAGUUGAAGGCAUCAAAAUACUUGAAAACCUAAACAAUGUUGCCGAAGCAUGUUCUAUGAUGCUUGGUCUAAUUUAUGCAUUAAACUUGGCCUAUACACAAGACUUCAGAUACACAUUUGAAACAUUUUAAAAGCUUUUUAUGGAGCUAAAUGCCAACAAUCUGUCAAACAAGGUCCAUGUCCUGAAAAAUAAACUUCUUUUGUAAGUAUUUACUCGAAGUAAUGUUCAAGAGGUGGUACUUAUGUUUCCUCAAUGAUGUUACACUGUUGGCUUGUUACAGCACAUUUGUUCCAGGACUGACCAUGUUACACUUUUUUCAUUAUCGAUCUCGUUUUAAAUAAAUGCUUUAUUUUUUCCCAAUUUAAAGGAGGCACAGAUUGCAAGAGAGACUUUUCACCCACCUAAUUUAAUUUAUAGGCAAUGCUUUUAUUUUUUUGAAUUUUACAGUCUGCUUUUAAUAAUAAGAAAACAGAAAGCAGUUUUAAAGAUACAGAUUUUGAACAAAUAAUUUUCGUUGGACAUUUGUAAAAGGUAUGUUCUUGAAUACAUUAAGUGCAUUUACAGUGUAUUAGUUGAAAAAUGUACUGCUUACUUUUGAAGAAGAAAGUGUUUGACUUCAGUGUGGGGGGAAUGUUGUAUGGUGAG